UGCAGUCGAGCGGUAGCACAGAGAGCUUGCUCUCGGGUGACGAGCGGCGGACGGGUGAGUAAUGUCUGGGAAACUGCCUGAUGGAGGGGGAUAACUACUGGAAACGGUAGCUAAUACCGCAUAACGUCGCAAGACCAAAGUGGGGGACCUUCGGGCCUCAUGCCAUCAGAUGUGCCCAGAUGGGAUUAGCUAGUAGGUGGGGUAAUGGCUCACCUAGGCGACGAUCCCUAGCUGGUCUGAGAGGAUGACCAGCCACACUGGAACUGAGACACGGUCCAGACUCCUACGGGAGGCAGCAGUGGGGAAUAUUGCACAAUGGGCGCAAGCCUGAUGCAGCCAUGCCGCGUGUAUGAAGAAGGCCUUCGGGUUGUAAAGUACUUUCAGCGAGGAGGAAGGCGUUAAGGUUAAUAACCUUGGCGAUUGACGUUACUCGCAGAAGAAGCACCGGCUAACUCCGUGCCAGCAGCCGCGGUAAUACGGAGGGUGCAAGCGUUAAUCGGAAUUACUGGGCGUAAAGCGCACGCAGGCGGUCUGUCAAGUCGGAUGUGAAAUCCCCGGGCUCAACCUGGGAACUGCAUUCGAAACUGGCAGGCUAGAGUCUUGUAGAGGGGGGUAGAAUUCCAGGUGUAGCGGUGAAAUGCGUAGAGAUCUGGAGGAAUACCGGUGGCGAAGGCGGCCCCCUGGACAAAGACUGACGCUCAGGUGCGAAAGCGUGGGGAGCAAACAGGAUUAGAUACCCUGGUAGUCCACGCCGUAAACGAUGUCGACUUGGAGGUUGUGCCCUUGAGGCGUGGCUUCCGGAGCUAACGCGUUAAGUCGACCGCCUGGGGAGUACGGCCGCAAGGUUAAAACUCAAAUGAAUUGACGGGGGCCCGCACAAGCGGUGGAGCAUGUGGUUUAAUUCGAUGCAACGCGAAGAACCUUACCUGGUCUUGACAUCCACAGAACUUUCCAGAGAUGGAUUGGUGCCUUCGGGAACUGUGAGACAGGUGCUGCAUGGCUGUCGUCAGC
This 1011-nucleotide ribosomal RNA is filed under the name Klebsiella aerogenes. Its description in RNAcentral is "bacterial SSU rRNA". It matches the Rfam family "Bacterial small subunit ribosomal RNA", at positions 56 to 1059 of the family's 1533-position model. The record is from RNAcentral. Lineage: Bacteria; Pseudomonadati; Pseudomonadota; Gammaproteobacteria; Enterobacterales; Enterobacteriaceae.